This 377-nucleotide ribosomal RNA is filed under the name uncultured bacterium. Its description in RNAcentral is "bacterial SSU rRNA". It matches the Rfam family "Bacterial small subunit ribosomal RNA", at positions 521 to 896 of the family's 1533-position model. The record is from RNAcentral.
UAAUACAGAGGUGCCGAGCGUUAGGCGGAAUCACUGGGCUUAAAGCGCGUGUAGGUGGAUCGUUAAGUGUCUUGUGAAAUCCCACGGCUCAACCGUGGAACUGCUGGGCAUACUGACGAUCUUGAGGCACUCAGGGGCUGUCGGAACAAAUGGUGGAGCGGUGAAAUGCGUAGAUAUCAUUUGGAACGCCAAUGGUGAAAACAGACAGCUGGGGGUGUCCUGACACUGAGACGCGAAAGCCAGGGGAGCAAACGGGAUUAGAUACCCCGGUAGUCCUGGCCCUAAACGAUGUCCACUAGAUUAUGGCGACUCUGACGUCGUCAUGGUCGGAGCAAAAGUGUUAAGUGGACCGCCUGGGAAGUACGGUCGCAAGGCUA